This 466-nucleotide ribosomal RNA is filed under the name uncultured bacterium. Its description in RNAcentral is "partial 16S ribosomal RNA". It matches the Rfam family "Bacterial small subunit ribosomal RNA", at positions 28 to 507 of the family's 1533-position model. The record is from RNAcentral.
GAUGAACGCUGGCGGCGUGCUUAACACAUGCAAGUCGAACGAUGAAGCUCAGCUUGCUGGGUGGAUUAGUGGCGAACGGGUGAGUAACACGUGAGUAACCUGCCCUUAACUCUGGGAUAAGCCUGGGAAACUAGGUCUAAUACCGGAUAGGAGCGUCCACCGCAUGGUGGGUGUUGGAAAGAUUUAUCGGUUUUGGAUGGACUCGCGGCCUAUCAGCUUGUUGGUGAGGUUAUGGCUCACCAAGGCGACGACGGGUAGCCGGCCUGAGAGGGUGACCGGCCACACUGGGACUGAGAAACGGCCCAGACUCCUACGGGAGGCAGCAGUGGGGAAUAUUGCACAAUGGGCGAAAGCCUGAUGCAGCGACGCCGCGUGAGGGAUGACGGCCUUCGGGUUGUAACCCUCUUUCAGUAGGGAAGAAGCGAAAGUGACGGUACCUGCAGAAGAAGCACCGGCUAACUACGUG